RNAcentral lists this ribosomal RNA (254 nucleotides) under uncultured bacterium. Its description in RNAcentral is "partial 16S ribosomal RNA". It matches the Rfam family "Bacterial small subunit ribosomal RNA", at positions 524 to 776 of the family's 1533-position model. The record is from RNAcentral.
UACGAAGGGGGCAAGCGUUAUUCGGAUUUACUGGGCGUAAAGGGCGCGUAGGCGGCUUGGCAAGUCUGGUGUGAAAACGCUACCGCUUAACGGAGCGAUUGCGCUGGAAACUGCCAAACUUGAGUCCGCGAGAGGCUAGUAGAAUUCCUGGUGUAGCGGUGGAAUGCUCAGAUAUCAGGAGGAAUACCAGAGGCGAAGGCGACUAGCUGGAGCGGUACUGACGCUGAUGCGCGAAAGCAUGGGGAGCAAACAGG